This 443-nucleotide ribosomal RNA is filed under the name uncultured bacterium. RNAcentral's name for it is "partial 16S ribosomal RNA". It matches the Rfam family "Bacterial small subunit ribosomal RNA", at positions 338 to 795 of the family's 1533-position model. The record is from RNAcentral.
CCUACGGGUGGCAGCAGUGGGGAAUAUUGGGCAAUGGGCGCAAGCCUGACCCAGCAACGCCGCGUGAAGGAAGACGGCUUUCGGGUUGUAAACUUCUUUUCUGCGGGACGAAGAAAGUGACGGUACCUCAGGAAUAAGCCACGGCUAACUACGUGCCAGCAGCCGCGGUUAUUCGUAGGGGGCAAGCGUUAUCCGGAUUGAUUGGGUGUAAAGGUGGUGUAGGCGGGAAAGCAAGUCAGAUGUGAAAACUCAGGGCUCAACCCGCAUCCUGAAUUUGACACUGGAUUUCUUGAGUGCUGGAGAGGCAAGCGGAAUGCGGGGUGUAGCGGUGAAAUGCAUAGAUAUUAGGAAGAACACCGAUGGCGAAGGCAGAAUACUGGAGAGCAACUGACGCUGAGGCACGAAAGCGUGGGGAUCGAACAGGAUUAGAUACCCGAGUAGUC